CUAAAUCAUAUCCCUGAGCACCACAUCCAAACGGCUCUUAAACACGUCCAGGGAUGGCAAUUCAACCACCUCCCUGGGGAGCCUAUUCCAGUGCUUAGCUACCCUUAGGUAGGUUAAAACUUGUAAUGCAGAGAAUCUCACUUUAGACUCAGGGAAUCGGACAGCUGAAGUUGGGAGGUAAGAGGUUUUUUUAUUUUUGGGAUUAUAUUCCUAAAGGUGCAACCUGUAUUGGUGUACUGUGGCAUAGACUCCAUGUCACUGGAUGCUGAAUGGUCAGUGUCACUAAUCAUGUAGCUUUUGGAAAGAGUUUGUGUAGCAGGAGCAUUUUGUCUGCAGUAACAAAACUAAAGGAGGUCUGUUCUUCCACUGGAGCUACUGAGGUGGGAAUACAAGCACAGGACAUGACUGGUACUUUCUAGAGCCAGCCAAUCUUGCUUGUGUCUAGUGGUUUGUUAUUUUUCUUGUAGUGAGUACUGUUAGCCAGACCCUAGGACUUGUCACAGCCAGGAACAGGAGCAAUAUUGCAGCUUCACCUGGAAGUGACCAACUUUCAGCACAGAUAAUAAGCAACUGCAUUAUCAAAAUGGGGGUCCCUGUUACAGCCUUCUGUUAGCAUGUCCUUUACCUAUAAGGAUCUGCUGGAUGACUGUGUACAGUAGUACAAGAUUUAGGUUCUUCCCCAUCCUUUUGCUACAGCAAGGGAAAAAUGUAGUCAGAUUUCAAAAUCCAGUUUUAAGUGUGGAAGAUGAAGUGUAUUGCUGAUGCCAGUGUAAUGGUAGCAUCAAGGGUUAACAGGCUCCUGCUUACUAGUUCAUUACUUGCUGAAAUGGAAAGUGUUGCUCUGGCAGCAUUAAGAUACCAGAACUUUCAUUGCAAAACCAGUAGGGUGCCACAGCAGGAAACAGCCUGAUCAGAGAAAUGCUUUGUGAAGACAUUUUAAAUAGAAUUCUGACAGAACAUCGAGUCCUGGAUCUACAAAAAGCAGCUUUGCUGGCCCUGGAGUGAAUUAUCAUGUGUUCUGAUACCUCUUGAGAAGCAGUCUUCAUUUUCCGGCUCUUCAGUGUGAUCUUAUGCAGCGUAAUGCUUCCACCUGAAUAAUUUACGAGGCAAAAGCACUCAAAGUAUGAAAACAUCUGAAGGAAGACAGUCUUCCCUGGGCCGUUGCAAGGUACCUUUGUGCUGAAGCCUAUUUCCCUAGGAAAGUACAUCCUCCAACACUCAGAAUACACAUCAGGUAAGUGAAGUACAAAGCGCAUAUGAAGUGAAAGGAAGAGUCUGAAAAGUGAGCAAAACCACCACUUACAAUUUGCCUAUGAGUGCUUAGGUAAUUCUUAAUGCAUUGAGGAAUACAAAUCAAUCCCCCCCCAAACAACUCUAUCCAUCCAACCAGGACCCCAAUGCUGAAUGCAAGUGCUGAUGGGCAUCUUCAGGGGCUUGAUUAUCCAAAGUGCUAAGAAACCACAAAUUCCAUUGUCACAGGUAUGUAACAGAUUUGAAGACUGAGCUACUUUAUUUAAAUGCUUCAGAUUUAGCCAUUUAACUUAAUGAAACCAACUCUGUGGGUUUCAUUGGUGUUCCAAAGGCAAAUGCUAUCCCAGUUUUGGGAAGAGACAAGCAGGACAGCAAGAUGCUGAAAGUGCCCUGAGCUGCAGUGGGUGAUGAGGAUGUGCUGGGAACUCAGAUGCUUUGGUAGCUCUGUGGGAAUGAAGGGGUCACACCGGGAGACCUCUGGGAAAAGGGGUGGGAGAAGGGAAACCCAAUGUCAUCAUCAAAGAAAAGGGAAACAAGACAUCAGCAACAGUCCCGCAUCUCUGAGCAGGUCACAGCCAAGGUGCUCUGUUUCCCUCUGCUGGUAAAACCUCAAGAUUUUUUUACUAUUAUUACCCUCUAGAAUUCUGGGUGUUGUUUUUUUUUGCUGGGGGUUUUCUGCUGGAGGUGUCUGUGUGCCACAGUGUGCUGCGUGUGCCUGUGCACUGUGCUGAACAGUGCCUGUGGGAAUGAUCAGGUUUCUUGUUCCCUUCCAAACCUCCCUCAGUUCUAUUGCAGAGCUCUGCCAUGUAGCCAGCUCUGUUUAAUGCUGUUGACUUCAGCAGAGUUGGGCAUGAAUCUAAAUUAUUAAGAAAUAUUUUGAGGUGAUUUAUGUAUAUUUGGGAAGGUGUCACUGAUUUCUCAGCAUGAAAGCAAUGCCAUAACACUAACACUAUUCUUAGGCAGUCUAACACUUUUUAUACAGAGCUGCUGCUAUUUGGUUGCGUUCAGAAGACAGAACAGAGAUUCUGUUGUAGGAAAGUCUCAAGAUUACGAGCUGGUAGGAAGAUGAUGUCAUUGUACACAUGGCACCGAAUGCACUAUCUAGAUAUUUUAAUUGCUCAGUCAGACCACACGGCCCAGAGCCAGCUGCAGUAAGACCUCAUGCGUGAUCCUCUGCUUCCCAUUGCCAAAGAAAAUAUCAGUGUUCAUAACCAUUAGAGGUCUUUAGAAGUAAGCAAAAUUAAUUUGGGAAGGAGCUUUCUGAGCUUUCACAGGCACCGUCUUAUAGAGACAUAGGUCUCCCGGCUUAUCCACUAUCUUGGGGUCUUCCAGGGUGUAUCUUCCUUUCCACAUGACAUCCCCAACAGCAGAAGUUUCCCAUGUCCCACUACCAGGGGCAGCAUUUUACACUGGGAAUGCAUUUGAGUUUUUUCCACAUGUGAUAAAAACAAAUGGAGAAUUUUAUCUCUAGGAGAAAUAAGUGACUCUUACACUUACUUGCAAGUGCUUUUCUUGGAAAGUCCAAUCGUUCAUGCACAUGUACUUCAGUUUAACAGGACUGUUAGAUUAAUUGAGCUGUUGAGCAUGUCUGGUCACAAAGUAUGUUGUAACUAGUUUCUGAGGGCCCUGGGCAGGCUGGCAGGGCCUAGGAGAACAACCAGAGGUAUUGCCAUACAGACUGAUGGGUCUUACAGUGAGUAGACAUUGAAAUUAAUUUACCGUUAACGAAAGUGAUGGGAUGAGAGGAAACAGAAUGCUUUUGGACAAAUUGCUCUGCUUCUGUUGCUCAAACACUCCACUUCUUGAAUUUACUCUGUAAAAGUAGUCAAGAAAACGCAUGCUUCACUGAAACCCUGAAACCCUGAAACCUGGCUGUGUUGGAAAGUUGUUCAUCCUGUGUAUUAGGUCUGCAGGUUCAGUAAAUGUUAGAGGAGGAGCUUGUUUCUAUUCUAUAUCACUGGAGGAAAAUAGCUGCUUAAUUCAGCCUAAUCUCUACUACUCAAGAUAAUAGGAUUCCAGGGACAUUACUCUCAGAUUAGCUGGAAAACCGUGACUGCCUGCAAUAACUGUGGGCAAAAUUUAACUCCCUUCUGCACUGUUGUUAAUGUGCAAGAAAGCGUGAGUUCACAUAGAUGAGCCAAUCUCUGUUUGAUUUGCAAGGCAAGCCAUUAAAAAGAAAAAACAAUCAUUUCAUAGUAAACUGAGCACAAUUAACUGGCUUCUGGGGAAGAUCGACAUUUUUCCAGGGACAGUUCUGAAAGCAGAAAAGGACCACAGCAGCAAAACCACAUAAAUUAGAAACUCUAGGGAACACAGUGUGAGAGAGAAUGUAUCUUUUUGUUAACCCUCAGCAAAUGAUAUGAAAGUGGGCAAUUUUCAGAUCUCUGCCAUUUGGAAAUGAGAGAAUUGAGUGAUGCUGGAUCGUAUAUCCCAUGACUUAACAAUUUUUCAGCACUCUUUUACACGUUUUGCUUGGCUGGAUGCCUCCCUUUUUUUUAUUUUGGUCCAUAAUGAACAUAAAUGCCUUAAGCAUGACAGUAAGGUUGGUCUCUUUCCUCACUCCCCCUCUUUUGGGAGUCAAUCAUUCACACAGUGCGAUCAGAUCUGUGUAACAAAGAGGGAAAGGAAGAACCAAGGCUUUUCCAUUUCAGGUCAUGUGAGUAUAGUUUCUGGAGUCGGAAUCCCUGAAAAGAAGCACAGGACAGCAGUGAUACUUUGAAUACGUAUGCAGCAGGUUAAAACCUUUCUUCUCUCUGCAUUUUUUUGUUUCAUUAUUGCAUUUCAGAGCAUGGAAUUUUAAUGUAGAUUCCAAUGUAGAUCAGCAAAAAGUUGAGUUUGCAGUUAAAGACUCAAUGGGUGGAUGUACUGAGAAUCUUAUGAUCUUGUUCUCAGUUUCUCACAGAUAUUCCGUGUAUUUGGGUAUGAGUUCUGAUGUCUGUGUUUCCGUGACAGAAGAAAGGCAGAACUACUUAUCCCUGUCUGUGCUUAGAGAUAAUGGGGGAAAAGACUAAAUAGAAGCUACUGUUUAUAUAUGCAGGAAAGAGCCACUAACAGCAGAAGAGCUGAACUACCCUAGGGAAGGUCUGCAGAGGUACCACGAUCAGCACACAUGGCAGGCAUCUGCAAUCCUUCAUCUAAAUCCUCAGCAUGCAAUGUGCCCAACGGGAUAUUUCUGGCCUCAGUUUUGUACCUUGUCACUGAUAUCCAGCAACUGUCACCAGUUCCUUUUAGACCAUCGCUCCACUCUCCAGAACUGGUUUAGGUUGCUCAUCUGCCUCUGCCUGCCCACUCUUGCUCCUGGGCUUUUGCCCCAGGCAGGUUUGCCAGGUGGGUUCCUCAUGCUGCUGCGGGGUGGCUGACGGCCCUGUGCAGGAUGAGUGGCUGAAGUACUCCUGCCAGUAUACACACUCAUUGGAUGAGUUAAUCUUUGGCAAUUACAGUCUGGUACACGGCCUAAUUAGUUUUGCACCUUGUAGUUGUAAGUUCAUUUACUGUGCGUUUCCUUACUCUGCCAAUGAAAACAUCGCACAAGUCAGCUGAAAGCUCACUAAAUUCCAGACACAUAACUUCUGUUUCCCUCCCCCUUCUCACAAGGCCUAUCGCCCAGAAGAGAUGUGGGUUAAUUUGACAGAAUGUCUUUGACAAAUGGGUUUAUCUGUUACUCAUUUUCACACUUAGGAAGUUUUUAUUCAUUUCAGACUUUUAUUUUUCAGACGUUGAAGUUUAAAAAAUGAUCCUAUUAUUCAUUGGUCCAUCUUUGCUUUUUUCUUUCAGUAAAAAUCCUCUAUAAAUCAGGAGCUACCUUGUUGAAUAAAUAGAAAUAUUCUGUUUUAAAACCCACGUAAGAUUGGAGGUCAUUUUCUUAAGGGAACAUGUUGUACAACUUCAUCUUAAUUACAGAGACUGAAAGAAAAAUAAGAAAAAUGAGUUUUCUGAGAAAAGCAUGAUCUGGAACACUUACAAGAAGCAGUAAUAUAAGUGGGUUUGCUGUUGGUCUUUGUGGGAGCAAUAAGAAAUUAUGAAGGUUUGGCUGACUCCUGUCCUGAGAGCUUGAGCAGGACUGGCGUGAGUAGAAGAGCAAAAGCCAACUGGAGCCUCUCUACCAAAUGUUUGCAUCACAUCAUGCACCAAAAACCCCAAUUGUUUUAUGCACACAAAGUGCACGACAAACUGACAGCACGGUGGCUGCUGGAAUUGCUUUGGGACAGCUAAGAAUAUACUCCCUUGUGGUUGUGGCUAAUAUAGCAGCAAGGUGAAGGGGUUUGGACAGGAAAAUGGCAAAUUGUUGCUGUGUUCAACAGCCUUCUGGGGCCUCUAGCAGACCAGAAGUGCAUACUUUCAUACUGGAUCUUACCCAAUGGCUUUACAAUAAAAGUAAUGCUAUAUAAACACACAGCAUGCUGCAAACUCCAGCUUGGUAGCGUGGGUGAGAGAGAUGUUUCUGAGUUAAUUUUUCAUAAGAGAAAACAGAGAUUCGUGUUCUUCAGCUACGGUAAACCUUGUGUGGAUGAGAUGAGUCUACAGCAGAGUCUGCCAACAAUCCCAUCCCAGAAAGCAUUCACUACAAGAGGUACACGAUGGUAACCUUUUGCAGACACCGAGUAUUAGAGAACAUGCUUUUCAUCAUGGAAUCCUUAGUUUGGAAACGACCUCUAAGAUCAUUUAGUCCAACCAUCCAGCUACCACCAAUACUACUCACUAACCAUGUCCCUCAGUGCCACGUCUAAGCAGGGGCGUUGACUCCACCACCUCCCUGUGCCAGUGCCUGACCACUCUUGUGGAAAGGAUUUCCUAAUACCUAACGUGAAUCUCUCCUGGUACAGCUUGAGGCCAUUCCCUCUCAUCCUAUUGCUGUUACUUGUGGGAAGAGGUGUUCAUCAUUGUAAACCCAGAUUUGGAAAAAUAAGUCAUCAAAUAAAAACGUUAGGAGAUAGAAGGAGAAAAUGUCACAUUUUUUUUCAGACCACAGGAAUUUGUCACCAUGGAGAUCCUCUUGUUUUCUUUGAAAAUAUCUCAGAUCUUAUGGAUGGAGCAUAUGUGAUAGAAGUAAAACAAUAUCGUCAAAAAUUCACAUUAAACAUUUUAGAAGGAAGUUUCUGAGCAGCAACCAACUUUGACAGACUGUUCAUGCAGCAAAAAUAUGCUCACAAUCUUUUCCUUAAGAGCUUUUUCUUUCUAAUGUAAAGCAACUGAAGAUUUUAUUUUCUAAACUGGCUUAUUUUUAAGGAACUUAUGAUACAUACAGCUGAAAGACUUCACUAUUUUGUUUUAGUUUUGUACAGUGAAAUGCUCUUCAUAAUGAGAAGCAUAGAGGUUGUAAGAGAUGUAAUCUGGUUUUAGGCCUAGCAAUGAAUUGAACUCCUGUAGCCAUACAGCCCAAGUUAUAGAAAUGGUGCCCAUCCAUCCUUCCACGUUUCACACUGGGUGGGUUUUGCAGUCAGACAUAAUUGCAGAGCAGAAAAGACAUCUCCUGUCCUUCCACAAUGCAUAAGAAGAUAGGAUGAAGCAUAAAGUCAGAAUAAAUAUCCCAAUGUGCUUAGGCUAAUCUAAGGGAAGGGAAACUGAGUAUUUACCCUUAAUCAGGAUCAGAUUUGUCCAGCUGGGCCAUGUGGUAGUAAUCUCUGUGGAGAUGCAUUUAGCAAGGAUGGCAGUGAGAACUGCGGUCCUGGGGCCAGGAGAUGGCAAUUCCUGGCUCUGGUGCCCACAUGGCCCAAGGAACUAGUCCAUGGUUGAAGGAGCUGAUCCAUGCAUGCUCCAGAGAGCUAGGCAGCCUCAUUGAGAACAGGAAAAUGCAAGGCACGCUUUGAGUGGGACAGGUUGUUCUGCAGUGCCUUUGCACUAUGGAUAUCCAGGAUGCAGCCUAGGUGCUGAGUCAAGUCUCUGCUUUCACUUUUCCUUUUUUUCCCCCCUCAGUUACAUGGGUAAUAAGUAAUGCAAAGGAAACAUAUAAGUAUUUCCUUUGUCAGUGAACAAAACAACUAAUCGGAGCAACUAAAGGGCUUCAGCUUCACAAAACUGCAAAUACUCUAUUGAGGACAAUUCAGAAAACUUGAGCUGAAAAUGUAGAAAAAUUGGUGCUUAGGGUACAUGGAUGUUGGGAAAUCAUGAACUCAGAAAUUCCUGCAGCUAAAAGCUGCCCUAUGAAAUUCAUCAGACGAAAGCAAUGGUUUCUGCCAUUUCAAGAGGCCAUCUUCAUAAUAGCUGGUAAUCAUGUGGUACUGGGAAUAGUGAGUGAUUCCAUUUGCAUUUCUUUAAUGAGUUGAUUUUUGUGUUCUACCCGCUGAGCUACGAUACUAGAAACAGUAGUUCUAUCUGACACGAGUUGAAAGUGUUUAAGGGGGAAUAUACUCUGUCUCUUUUAUUGGUGCUGAACGGUAAGAAGGUUUUCUUACAGCGUGUUUGUAUACAUUUAUUUGUGUUGAUGAUAACAUUUGGGCUAUUGCAACUUCUGGAAACCAAGACUCAAAUCCUGCUGGCAAACACCCCUGCCUUCUCUCCUCCCAACUCGUACACAACUCUCUUCAGUGGCUGGUGGCCCUGGCUCCAAACUCAUCCCGGUUAUUUCCCAGUCAACCCAAGCGUUGGCCACCUUCUGGUGCCAGCUCCAGAUGUAGCCCCAUCUUGCCAGUCACUUAUUUAACUUGGGAAACACUUGCUACAUGAACAGUGUCAUACAGUCUCUCUUCAUGGCUUCAGAGUGAGUUGUUGCUCCCUUGUUCCCUCUUAGGACUGCUCCCGGGUUGCUCUUUGCACUGGCACUGUGCUUCCCACAAUGCUAAUUGUCCAUCUUGUUUUGCAUCUGCGGUUGUCUUCUGCAGCUUUCGGCAUUCCGUGUUGAAUUUAAACGAGAGUGACCUCCAGCCCCUGAUGACAAAACUGAAGUCGCUCUUUGCAUUGUUGGAGCACAGUCAGGUAAUUAUUUCAUGUUCUAGUUAUUUCUUUGGACCAAAGUCCAAACACCACAACAGCAACAAACCUUUAGAUUCCAGAUGUUGUGAAUCUUUCAUAUCUGAGGGAAAGUAAGAAAAAUAGCCCAUACACAAAGUA
Coturnix japonica (Japanese quail) is the source of this 8298-nucleotide non-coding RNA. The record is from RefSeq and is a predicted model, not a curated record. NCBI's taxonomy places the organism in Eukaryota, Metazoa, Chordata, Aves, Galliformes, Phasianidae.